Molecule: unclassified non-coding RNA, 243 nt
Filed under: Hevea brasiliensis (rubber tree)
Lineage: Eukaryota; Viridiplantae; Streptophyta; Magnoliopsida; Malpighiales; Euphorbiaceae
Source: RNAcentral
GCCCAUUGAUCUGAUAUCAGGAAGUCCAUUACCAAGUUCUACCUCACGCUUGAUUCUCCGAUGAUUUGAAUUAUUAGGAUCAAAGAAAUCGGUGAUACACCAUUCAUAAUUAGCAAAACAUUGGCCUGGCUUCAAAACUCGGAAUAUUUCCUUGUAGCAAUCAAACACGUUUGGGGCAUGACAUGUAGCUUCUAUGGCAAAAAUUCCAUCAAAACUGUCAUCCGCAAACGGCAUACUCAUGAA